AUGUUUCAUUCACACAGGGCAGCAUCUACACACAGGGAUGGACCUGAGAAUGGCUCCACCUUCACAUACAGGUACACACACAAUACAUCCCUCUCCACGACACCACAGGACAGAACACAACGCCCAACACACUCCAUCCCACUCAAUCACCCACCAGACCCAGACACUAGACACACUAGCAAACAAUAUUUCAAACUGAUACAAGCAAUACAUCACAAAGAAAUCAUGGACAUUGCACUUACUACUGACACACUCCCGUUAGGUAUGAAAAGACAAGUACAUAGACUCACAGACUUCAUUAAACCUUCCACUCCAACAAUAGACACACGCAAUAAGAUCCAGGAAAACACUAAUCAGUGGAUGAAAAACACAAUGUCUGUACUCCACCAACAUUACGCAAACACAAUCAGGUCCAUAUCUAUAUCACCUUUCAACACAAUAGCAGCCCAAAUAGCCACCGGUUGGGCCCAUAAGCGCUAUGGCCCAAGACUCACGGCCACUUCAUUACAAACAUUCCAUACACUUUGCCAGGACAGCCAAGAAGCAACCGCCAUCACCAUUUCUCCACAACCCCAAGCUACAACCAACAACUCACCAACCCAUGCCUUAGCCACCAUCCCGGAAGUGGUUGAAGAAAACCUUUCACCACGACCAACUCCUUCACAUCACCCUCCACACACUGUUGAAAUAGCAACGUCAUCCACCCACACAGUCAGUAAAGGCCCCAGUAAAACACCGGCCUUCUUCCCACUAUUCACCCCGCAACCUACAUCACGUCCUAAGAUCCCUACCGGCACACCGACACCACUUUCAGAACUCUCCCAUAACAAUUCUCCAGACCCAUCCACCCUAAACCUUACGGCCAAGCGGGUCACCUGGGGGCCUCCUCCACCCAAGGAAGACCCAGUUCCUGCCAUUGUACCCGUCCCCUCUACAAGUUCCUUCACUACUGAACAACCUGGUAAAAUUACUUCCACCACACCCAAGUUACCCAUAAUAGCUACAGAUACCCACCACCCCAUCACCCAGCCGACCACACAGGAUCACAAUUUAAUCACACACAGUUUUCACUCCAAUGUCUCUGUCUCUCUCCCAGACAAGAUCCUCCCCUCUUCCCCACAGCUACCUUCCACUGGUACCCAGGUGGAUCUGAUUGAGCUAGGGAUCCCAUCACAAUACAGGCCGAAGCAGGCCAAAAUGAUGACCAGGGUGCCAAAAGUCGAUGCUGACUGCCAGACCACCCUAUCUGAGCCUCCUACCUCCCCACAAACAUCGGGAGAGUCUGCAUUGUUGGCUCAUCAGCCCCAGAGCACCAGCACAUCCACUGACCCAAACCUAACUCACCCUUCUUCCCCUCCGUCCCCCUCAUCCCCUCCAGUUACUUCUCCAGAGCCAAGUGACAGUUGGCCAUCUGUAUUUCCUAGCCCGUCUCAACCCUCAACACUUCCCACCUUUAGGCCAAAUUACCAUUUAGCUAGACCCAACCACAAAAUCCAGGACUGGGUCUUCAAAAGCAAUCAAAGUUUCCUCAUCCUGGGUGACUCCAACGUUGACCACUUCCCCGAACACACCAAUCCAGACAUACAAAUAGACAGUUACCCCGGAGCAAAUGCCUACCAUUUCCUCAAAGUCUGUGAAAAUUCCCCCCCCAACCCGAAUACCGAGAUCGUAAUCUUUGCCAUAGGCAUUAACAAUAGAGACCAGGACCCAAGCAAAACCACAAUCAAGCAACUAAGGAGAUUAUUCCGUGCUGCCAAGCGGACCUUUCCCAAUGCAGCAGCCUACUUUCCCAUCCUCAACUACUCAUCCCAGUUAACACAGACACAACAGGACAAUUUGGAACUUAUCAACGAAACCAUGACGACACAUUACCAAACACUGUCGGAAAUCCCAAACCACCUCUUCAUUACAGAAAAAGACAACAUCACUUGGACCCCCUAUACAGCAAGACUCAUAUUUGCUAGCUGGCGCGGACAACUUCUUCCUGAAACCCCCGUAAUUUAA
This 2004-nucleotide long non-coding RNA is filed under the name Takifugu rubripes (torafugu). Its description in RNAcentral is "lncRNA (ENSTRUG00000028144.1)". Lineage: Eukaryota; Metazoa; Chordata; Actinopteri; Tetraodontiformes; Tetraodontidae. The record is from RNAcentral.